UGGCUCAGGAUGAACGCUAGCUACAGGCUUAACACAUGCAAGUCGAGGGGCAGCAUGGUCUUAGCUUGCUAAGGCCGAUGGCGACCGGCGCACGGGUGAGUAACACGUAUCCAACCUGCCGUCUACUCUUGGACAGCCUUCUGAAAGGAAGAUUAAUACAAGAUGGCAUCAUGAGUCCGCAUGUUCACAUGAUUAAAGGUAUUCCGGUAGACGAUGGGGAUGCGUUCCAUUAGAUAGUAGGCGGGGUAACGGCCCACCUAGUCUUCGAUGGAUAGGGGUUCUGAGAGGAAGGUCCCCCACAUUGGAACUGAGACACGGUCCAAACUCCUACGGGAGGCAGCAGUGAGGAAUAUUGGUCAAUGGGCGAGAGCCUGAACCAGCCAAGUAGCGUGAAGGAUGACUGCCCUAUGGGUUGUAAACUUCUUUUAUAAAGGAAUAAAGUCGGGUAUGGAUACCCGUUUGCAUGUACUUUAUGAAUAAGGAUCGGCUAACUCCGUGCCAGCAGCCGCGGUAAUACGGAGGAUCCGAGCGUUAUCCGGAUUUAUUGGGUUUAAAGGGAGCGUAGAUGGAUGUUUAAGUCAGUUGUGAAAGUUUGCGGCUCAACCGUAAAAUUGCAGUUGAUACUGGAUAUCUUGAGUGCAGUUGAGGCAGGCGGAAUUCGUGGUGUAGCGGUGAAAUGCUUAGAUAUCACGAAGAACUCCGAUUGCGAAGGCAGCCUGCUAAGCUGCAACUGACAUUGAGGCUCGAAAGUGUGGGUAUCAAACAGGAUUAGAUACCCUGGUAGUCCACACGGUAAACGAUGAAUACUCGCUGUUUGCGAUAUACUGCAAGCGGCCAAGCGAAAGCGUUAAGUAUUCCACCUGGGGAGUACGCCGGCAACGGUGAAACUCAAAGGAAUUGACGGGGGCCCGCACAAGCGGAGGAACAUGUGGUUUAAUUCGAUGAUACGCGAGGAACCUUACCCGGGCUUAAAUUGCAGAUGAAUUACGGUGAAAGCCGUAAGCCGCAAGGCAUCUGUGAAGGUGCUGCAUGGUUGUCGUCAGCUCGUGCCGUGAGGUGUCGGCUUAAGUGCCAUAACGAGCGCAACCCUUGUUGUCAGUUACUAACAGGUUCCGCUGAGGACUCUGACAAGACUGCCAUCGUAAGAUGUGAGGAAGGUGGGGAUGACGUCAAAUCAGCACGGCCCUUACGUCCGGGGCUACACACGUGUUACAAUGGGGGGUACAGAGGGCCGCUACCACGCGAGUGGAUGCCAAUCCCAAAAACCUCUCUCAGUUCGGACUGGAGUCUGCAACCCGACUCCACGAAGCUGGAUUCGCUAGUAAUCGCGCAUCAGCCACGGCGCGGUGAAUACGUUCCCGGGCCUUGUACACACCGCCCGUCAAGCCAUGGGAGCCGGGGGUACCUGAAGUGCGUAACCGCGAGGAGCGCCCUAGGGUA
Molecule: ribosomal RNA, 1440 nt
Filed under: uncultured organism
Description: 16S ribosomal RNA
Rfam family: Bacterial small subunit ribosomal RNA
Source: RNAcentral